UCCGAGUUGACCCCGGCAGUAUCCCAUGAGUUCCCACCAUUACGUGCUGGCAACAUAGGACGAGGGUUGCGCUCGUUGCGGGACUUAACCCAACAUCUCACGACACGAGCUGACGACAACCAUGCACCAUCUGUGCACCGGCCCCGGAAGGCUGCCGUAUUUCUACGGCAUUCCAGUGCAUGUCAAGCCCAGGUAAGGUUCUUCGCGUUGCGUCGAAUUAAACCACACGCUCCGCUGCUUGUGCGGGCCCCCGUCAAUUCCUUUGAGUUUUAGCCUUGCGGCCGUAGUCCCCAGGCGGAGUACUUAUCGCGUUAGCUGCGGCACCGAGGGGGUCGAUACCCCCGACACCUAGUACUCAUCGUUUACAGCGUGGACUAC
Molecule: unclassified non-coding RNA, 378 nt
Filed under: uncultured bacterium
Lineage: Bacteria
Description: contains 16S-23S intergenic spacer region
Source: RNAcentral